AAGAGGAAAAUUAGGGUUGAAGUUUAACAUGACUAUUGAACUGCAAUCAAAUUUCUCACCUCUCCCUCCUUCGCGGAACUCAGGCGGCGGCUCUCCGAGCUUCUUCUCACGAAAUGGCGACGGCAAACGGCGUGGUGCGGUGGUUCAACGUGAAGUGAAGAUGAUUAUUGAUGCGUUGAAGAUUGCAGAGCAAAGUGAUCCUGUUGAUGAUUUGAGAUCGUGAUUGGAGAGUGAAGGGAGAAGUUUGAAGAGUGAUGAAGAUGAACACUGUGUGGCGAUGUUGAUGAAUUGUGCAGCGUCGGUGAUUGAAGGAGAUGAUGAAAUUGAAGCGUUGAGGCGAAGCAGAUUGAAGGUUCAAGAAUCAUGGAAUCAGUAGAGAGAUUGAAGAAUGGAUUCGUGUGAAAUGAAGGAGGUUGAAUGAAGCUUGGAUUGAAAGAGAUGAGGUGAAGAAGAUUGAAGAUUUUUGUGAAUUUCUCUGGUUUUUCUGUUAUCGACCGUGAGAGAGAAAUUGAAGAUGAAGAUGGAUGUUAUUGGAGAAGGUUGAAGAGUCAGAAGUUUGUUACAGGGUUGAUGGAUGUCGGUUUUUCUUGAUGGCAUAGUUGAGAUACGGCUUAUUUUCUCUUGAAGGGUGAAUGGUUUAUUGGCUGUGCUGCAAGUUUGGAAAUCUUUUGAAGCGUAGCAUGAUAUAGGCAUAAAUUACAUAGCUUCUUCUCGGUGGUCAAGUGUUGACGAAGUCACGGCGUGAAUUUUUGACAUUGGAUAUUAGAACAAAAUAGAUUUUGGAUAGUGAUGAAUUUAUGGAAAUGCAUAUUUGAAUAAUGAAGGAAUGUUUGAUUAUAUUUUGUAA
This is a long non-coding RNA of Vicia villosa (hairy vetch), 847 nucleotides long. RefSeq lists it as uncharacterized. NCBI's taxonomy places the organism in Eukaryota, Viridiplantae, Streptophyta, Magnoliopsida, Fabales, Fabaceae. The transcript is spliced from 3 exons. The record is from RefSeq and is a predicted model, not a curated record.